This 427-nucleotide ribosomal RNA is filed under the name uncultured prokaryote. RNAcentral's name for it is "bacterial SSU rRNA". It matches the Rfam family "Bacterial small subunit ribosomal RNA", at positions 355 to 774 of the family's 1533-position model. The record is from RNAcentral.
UGGGGAAUCAUGGUCAAUGGGCGAAAGCCUGAACCUGCGACGCCGCGUGAGUGAUGAAGGUCGUAAGAUCGUAAAACCCUGUCGUCAGGGACGAAGGUUGUAUGCCUAACAGGUGUGCAGCUUGACGGUACCUGGAGAGGAAGCCCCGGCUAACUCUGUGCCAGCAGCCGCGGUAAUACAGAGGGGGCAAGCGUUAUUCGGAAUUAUUGGGCGUAAAGGGCGCGUAGGCGGUGUCUUAAGUGAGAUGUGUAAUCCCCGAGCUUAACUUGGGAACUGCAUCUCAGACUGGGGCGCUAGAGUGCUGGAGAGGGUGGUAGAAUUCCACGUGUAGCGGUGAAAUGCGUAGAGAUGUGGAGGAAUACCAGUGGCGAAGGCGGCCACCUGGACAGUAACUGACGCUGAGGCGCGAAAGCGUGGGGAGCAAACA